RNAcentral lists this ribosomal RNA (780 nucleotides) under Triticum aestivum (bread wheat). Its description in RNAcentral is "partial small subunit ribosomal RNA". Lineage: Eukaryota; Viridiplantae; Streptophyta; Magnoliopsida; Poales; Poaceae. The record is from RNAcentral.
AUGUCGUUCCACCGCGGCAGCAGCUCCGGCACCAGCGGCAACGACGGACCCAGUGCGUGGCCGUCGAGCCUGAGCACGCCGGAGACGGAGGAGCUUUACCGGUUCGAGCUCCUCGUGCCGCCGGGUUGCCGUCUUCUGCAUGACUGGAAGCUCGACAAGGACGGCUACCCGACGCGCGGGCCCGGCGCCACCACGGAGGAGAAGCGGACCGGCGGCCGCAACAACAUCGCCGGCCGUCACGCGUUCUGGGACGGCAAAGACUACGCCGCCGUCAUCGGCGCGUACCGGCUGGCGGAGUCCGGCGUCACGCCUGACCUCACCGGCGACCGUCGCCGCCUUCUUGUCCCGCGCCCCCGUCCAGCAGCGCGCGGCCGUCGGGCUCCUCCACCACCUGCGCCGGCGCCCACCGAUCCCCCCGCCCCGCCGGAGGUGGAACUACCGCCGGAGCAGUUGGUUCUUCGGGAGGACGGCGAUCCCGACGAUACGCCGGGUUACCUCGUCACCCUGCGCGCGUCGGCGGCUGCAGCGGCGGCUGCAGAGGUGGCGGCGGCGGCUGCAAGGGAGGCCGCCGAGCAGGCGGCAGCGAUCCAGGCAGCGGCGGCGAUUCCGCCAGUGGUCCCGCAGGCGGAGGUGGAGGCGCCGGAGUCGUCGGACGACGACGUCAUUGACUGGGAGCGGUUAGCCCAGGACAGCGACGACGAUGACGACGACGGCGGGGGUGACGGCGGUGACGUCGGGGAGGUCAUCGAUCUGUUGGCUAGCGACGAGGAGGAGGAGUAG